AGCCUUUAGCACCACAAGUAUUAAAGGUGCUGCCUGCCCAGUGAACCCUAAUUUUAACGGCCGCGGUAUCCUAACCGUGCAAAGGUAGCGUAAUCACUUGUCUUCUAAAUAAAGACUCGUAUGAACGGCCAAAUGAGGACCUAACUGUCUCCUAUGACUAAUUAAUGAAACUGAUCCCCCAGUACAAAAGCUGGGGUACACCCAUAAGACGAGAAGACCCUGUGGAGCUUUUAACCACCAUACUACCCCUAACCAACCAUCAACAGAAACACCCAAAACCCAUAGUACCUAAUUUAAGUUGGGGCAACUACGGAAAAAGAAAAACUUCCAUACCACAGGCCCGCCUGUACAAAGACCAACACGUCAAAGUACCAAACACUUGACCCAGUAUAACUGAUCAAUGAACCAAGUUACCCCAGGGAUAACAGCGCAAUCCCCUUUCAGAGUCCAUAUCGCCAAGGGGGCUUACGACCUCGAUGUUGGAUCAGGACACCCAGAUAGUGCAACCGCUAUCAAAGGUUCGUUUGUUCAACGAUUAAUGUCCU
This 545-nucleotide ribosomal RNA is filed under the name Coleonyx mitratus. Its description in RNAcentral is "partial large subunit ribosomal RNA". It matches the Rfam family "Bacterial large subunit ribosomal RNA", at positions 1817 to 2597 of the family's 2925-position model. The record is from RNAcentral. Lineage: Eukaryota; Metazoa; Chordata; Lepidosauria; Squamata; Eublepharidae.